Molecule: long non-coding RNA, 1224 nt
Organism: Camelina sativa (false flax)
Lineage: Eukaryota; Viridiplantae; Streptophyta; Magnoliopsida; Brassicales; Brassicaceae
Source: RefSeq, a predicted model, not a curated record
CAGUUUCCACUGUUCAUAAAACGGAAAAAAAAAACCUCUCUCGUCUUUCGUUGCAUAAACCCUAGUUCCCAUUCUCUAUCGUCGUCGUUGCCCAAAGCCACCGCCAACGAUCUUAUCUCCGUUCUCGGACCAUCCUACGCCGCGUCCUCCCUUAACCCGAUCAUAUCUCGAGAUAUCAAAUCGUGUCUCAGAUUCCUCGUCCCUUUCAAACCGGAUAAGCCUAAAUCCGAUUUCGGGCGAUGUUCGCUUCGUACUGGACUCUGUUCAGGUAAAAUCGAAGCCGUUGAGAGGCUGAGAAGGAUCUAUAAAGUAUGAUUUUGGCAAGUUUAUUCUACUUAUCUAAGAAGGAUCUAUAAAAUAUGUGAUUAUUGAUUCUCCUCUCAUGGCUAUCGUUGCUCCUCCUAAUAAACAAGAGAGUCUACCUCCUAUCAAAAAUCUCUAAUUUCGUCAUGCCCUCAUAGAUUCGAUAUGGUGUAAGCUUCUGUUUCCUCUCUCUAGAUCUAAGCAGGCAUACUCUCUCGCUCGAUUCUUCUACUUUAUUUAAGUCUAAAAGGUUUUAUCGGUUGAGUAAUUGAUGAAGAUCGAUUCAAGAAGUAAGUAAGUCUCCAGAUCUGAAGAAACUCCAAAAUAAGGGAGAUUCUUUGAAGAACAACGUUGAUUGCAGGAAGAAGCUAGUCCAAAGACUCUUGUUGGAUCAUAGUGCUGCUAAAGAUAAUCAUGAGAGAUGCAUCCUUACUAAGCUCAAGCAACAAUGUGGUGGACACUUUACUUCUAAGAUGAAGGGCAUGGCUUCAGGAAUUUGGACUUGUUUGUUCGAGGUACAGAUAAGAAGGAGAGAGCUGAACCCAAAACAUUGAGCCAGUUUAUGUACUUGUCUUGCGGAGGAAAUGGUGUGUCUUUAUGAGUGAUGACCAGUUUAUGUACUGAUUCAGAGAGUUAUAGACUUAUGUUUUCGGUUCUUCAUUUUUAUACAAUUUUGUUACAAUUCUGGUGUUACACGGCAGGCCAUGUUUUGGGUGCAGCCAUGUUUAUGGUAGAUAUAGCUGGUGUCUGUAUCCUCUACACUGGCGUAAGGACCCAAGAGAUACCAUCACGUUUACACUCUUCGUGACUAUGCUCAGUUCGAGAUGAAUUGUACUUUCAAAGUUAUGGCUGAUUUACGGUUAAGUUACGGCUGAGUUAUGAAUUACGGAGUUAUAAGAUGUUAGUACGUAUUCUUCUUUC